RNAcentral lists this ribosomal RNA (253 nucleotides) under uncultured bacterium. RNAcentral describes it as "partial 16S ribosomal RNA". It matches the Rfam family "Bacterial small subunit ribosomal RNA", at positions 524 to 776 of the family's 1533-position model. The record is from RNAcentral.
UACGAAGGGGGCUAGCGUUGCUCGGAAUUACUGGGCGUAAAGCGCACGUAGGCGGAUUGUUAAGUCGGGGGUGAAAUCCUGGAGCUCAACUCCAGAACUGCCUUCGAUACUGGCGAUCUCGAGUUCGGGAGAGGUGAGUGGAACUGCGAGUGUAGAGGUGAAAUUCGUAGAUAUUCGCAUGAACACCAGUGGCGAAGGCGGCUCACUGGCCCGAUACUGACGCUGAGGCGCGAAAGCCAGGGGAGCAAACGGG